This 2038-nucleotide long non-coding RNA is filed under the name Salmo salar (Atlantic salmon). Its description in RNAcentral is "lncRNA (ENSSSAG00000102649.1)". Lineage: Eukaryota; Metazoa; Chordata; Actinopteri; Salmoniformes; Salmonidae. The record is from RNAcentral.
CUGCUUAGAUGUAUGGCACAGUCCAGUGUCAGACUAACAACCUGAAAGGGAUUUUGGCUUUCUUUAGUGGUUAGCGAGGUGGUCAGGGGAGCAAUGGUGGGCUCUCUCUAACCAUCUAAUACCCAGUACUGGGCCUCUAGUCCAUCACAGACACCUUAUCCUGGUCUCACACAUCUUGGACACACUGGACAUUACCGACACCGGCCCGGUCUGGCUCUGGUAGCCACAGACCGUAGCAGUGUAGAUGGCCGCAGCACCGAGGUCAAUGUCCCCUUACCGACGCCCAUACAGCCACAUGCCACACUCCAGCAUGCAGACAUCCAGUCCCAGGCUGCCGACUGAUUUAAUUGGGCUGCAUUUUAUGUGUAGGACGAGCCAACAGAACAUCUGACCAUGAAGCUUGCCAGGCUGUGGAUCCUACAGGUCUGCAAUCACAGAAAAAUCAUAUAAUUCUCCAUCCAUAUAAAGGUCAACAAAUGGGCUAGAGAGAUUGUUACAGAGGGGAUGGCGUAAACUGGAGAGAGACAACUAAGAGGACACUCGUCUAAAGACGCAGGCAGGCACAGCCCUCUCCAUCACUGGUGCCCCUGACAACACAGGAAAUGGAUCCCACCCGGUGGCAGGCUCAGCCUUCACACUAUUUAGCACCACAAUUAUCCCCCAUUCAUUCACAGGCUGGAUGAACCAUAUAAGGCCAACUGUGAUUCAGCGAUGAUCAGCGCAAUGUGAAACCACGGGUCUGGCCUAGCAAUUUGAUGUAAUUGUGCUGCUGUGAUCUUCUGUAGUAGGGGACAUACUGGGAUCUGCUAACGCACUAGAGGAAAGAAUGGAGGGAGGAAAUGGAAGAAGAAGCUCAAUAAACAGAUUUAGAAAUCUGGGUUCAUUAAUAUGUAUUCAUGAUGUACUGACAGCCUGAACGACAUGCAGGCUCUGUAUCACAGAGAAACUGAGUCUUCAUACUGGGUAUGUUGUAUCAAAGUUUAAUGACCAUAAAACACUUCCACGAGUCAGUAAAGUCAGUCAGUAAAGUCUAACACUGGAUUGAAGGCAACAAUGUCAAAAAGGUAUUCAUUUUAAUAACAUAUUCUCGUAUAUUUAACUUCUAUUGUCCUUCAAGAGUGGCCGCAUUUUUUUUAUAUUGCAUGUCCAGUUUUUCAUUGGUAGGACUGUGAGGUAGAGACACAUCGUACAUUAUUAUGAAGGAGUUAGUGAAAUGGAAGUCUUUUGUGAUUAGUCAGAAACAUGUCAGAUUAAUUAUCAUAACUGUUAAUAUGGUGUCAUAUAUGCCCCAAUUACUUAAUGACCUAAUAAACAGUAUCAUAAAUAACAGUAUGUUGUCGAUAUGUUCAUUUGAACCAGUAAUGAAGUCAAGUGAGUAAUGUUGUAUAUGUACUGUAUGUUCAAAUCAGGAAAACAGUCAUCUACAAGCCUUAAUUGAUCAGGUCAACUUCACAUCCAUAAAUCCCUGAAAACAAACAUUUUUCCAACAUGAAGCUUUUGACAAACAGAUUACACAUUUAACACAUCAUAACCAAGUUUAGGAGGGCUCAGGAUCAUGAUUCAGCGGGCAUUAUGAAAUCCAAAACAGAUCCCCUCAUCAAAUGGCUCUGUGAGCCCUGUGGUGGUCUGAUGGGGUUGACCCCUGGCCCUCUCCCUGUGGGGGGCAGCUGAGGAGGGGGCGCGGGAGAUCACACGAAGGCCCUGUUCUGGCUCCAUGUCCAAACAGCCUGGUCUGUUCAGGAGGAGGGUGGAGGGGUGGAAGUGUACCCCCUCAUCCUAAAGAGUGCACCAGGUGGCAAGGACGUGGGCAGGGGGCUUUUGAUGCUGACCCCUGGUCCCUGGGAUGGGAUGGCUCUAGUCAUUGAUCCAGCCAGAGGAGGGAGGGGAGCCAGGUGCCCCUGGUGGGGAUGGGGAUCAGCUGCUACGGUCUGGGUAUGGAGGAGAGGAGUCUGGGCCCACACUGGUCCCAGUCAUGCCAGUAGUCACAGCCCCAGUGUUGACUGGCUGUGAUGUUGUAGACAGGGUGCGGUCUAACACU